RNAcentral lists this ribosomal RNA (484 nucleotides) under uncultured bacterium. Its description in RNAcentral is "partial 16S ribosomal RNA". It matches the Rfam family "Bacterial small subunit ribosomal RNA", at positions 30 to 507 of the family's 1533-position model. The record is from RNAcentral.
AUUGAACGCUGGCGGCAGGCCUAACACAUGCAAGUCGAGCGGAUGAAGGGAGCUUGCUCCUGGAUUCAGCGGCGGACGGGUGAGUAAUGCCUAGGAAUCUGCCUGGUAGUGGGGGAUAACGUCCGGAAACGGGCGCUAAUACCGCAUACGUCCUGAGGGAGAAAGUGGGGGAUCUUCGGACCUCACGCUAUCAGAUGAGCCUAGGUCGGAUUAGCUAGUUGGUGGGGUAAAGGCCUACCAAGGCGACGAUCCGUAACUGGUCUGAGAGGAUGAUCAGUCACACUGGAACUGAGACACGGUCCAGACUCCUACGGGAGGCAGCAGUGGGGAAUAUUGGACAAUGGGCGAAAGCCUGAUCCAGCCAUGCCGCGUGCGUGAAGAAGGUCUUCGGAUUGUAAAGCACUUUAAGUUGGGAGGAAGGGCAGUAAGUUAAUACCUUGCUGUUUUGACGUUACCAACAGAAUAAGCACUGGCUAACUUCGUG